RNAcentral lists this ribosomal RNA (253 nucleotides) under uncultured bacterium. RNAcentral's name for it is "partial 16S ribosomal RNA". It matches the Rfam family "Bacterial small subunit ribosomal RNA", at positions 524 to 776 of the family's 1533-position model. The record is from RNAcentral.
UACGUAGGGUCCAAGCGUUGUCCGGAAUUACUGGGUAUAAAGGGUGCGCAGGCGGAUCUGUGCGUCAGAGGUUAAAGACCCGGGCUCAACCCGGGAAGUGCCUUUGAUACGGCAGGUCUUGAGUAUGAGAGAGGAUAGUAGAAUUCCUGGUGUAGCGGUGAAAUGCGUAGAUAUCAGGAGGAAUACCAGUGGCGAAGGCGGCUAUCUGGCUCAUAACUGACGCUUAGGCACGAAAGCGUGGGGAUCAAACAGG